UAGAGUUUGAUCCUGGCUCAGAUUGAACGCUGGCGGCAUGCCUUACACUGCAAGUCGGACGGCAGCGCGGGAGCAAUCCUGGCGGCGAGGGCGAACGGGUGAGUAAUACAUCGGAACAUGUCCAGUAGUGGGGGAUAGCCCGGCGAAAGCCGGAUUAAUACCGCAUACGAUCUAUGGAUGAAAGCGGGGGAUCGCAAGACCUCGCGCUAUUGGGGUGGCCGAUGGCGGAUUAGCUAGUUGGUGGGGUAAAGGCCUACCAAGGCGACAUCCGUAGCUGGUCUGAGAGGACGACCAGCCACACUGGGAUGAGACACGGCCCAGACUCCUACGGGAGGCAGCAGUGGGGAAUUUUGGACAAGGGGGCAACCCUGAUCCAGCAAUGCCGCGUGUGUGAAGAAGGCCUUCGGGUUGUAAAGCACUUUUGUCCGGGAAGAAAUCCCCUGCCCUAAUACGGCGGGGGGAUGACGGUACCGGAAGAAUAAGCACCGGCUAACUCGUGCCAGCAGCCGCGGUAA
Molecule: ribosomal RNA, 515 nt
Filed under: uncultured Burkholderia sp.
Lineage: Bacteria; Pseudomonadati; Pseudomonadota; Betaproteobacteria; Burkholderiales; Burkholderiaceae
Description: bacterial SSU rRNA
Rfam family: Bacterial small subunit ribosomal RNA
Source: RNAcentral